UGUCGGUUUCCUCGCAAUGCUAAGCAGCAAAUCCCGCCAGGACCGGAAGGUAGCAACGGUAGUUGUGAUGCGUGUGCCGAGGGUGAGCUGACGAGG
RNAcentral lists this signal recognition particle RNA (96 nucleotides) under Agitococcus sp. RNAcentral's name for it is "signal recognition particle sRNA small type". It matches the Rfam family "Bacterial small signal recognition particle RNA". Rfam says of the family: The signal recognition particle (SRP) is a universally conserved ribonucleoprotein involved in the co-translational targeting of proteins to membranes. Archaeal SRP consists of a 7S RNA and homologues of the eukaryotic SRP19 and SRP54 proteins. Lineage: Bacteria; Pseudomonadati; Pseudomonadota; Gammaproteobacteria; Moraxellales; Moraxellaceae. The record is from RNAcentral. RNAcentral also lists the same sequence under 1 other name.